CUCAACUAUUCUUUGUGGUAUCUCCCAUGAUGACUUGGGCAGUUCCAGUCCACAUUCUGAGCACAUGUUUCAGCACACAAUCCCAGCAACUUGGUUGUGUCUUUCAGUGUAUUGUUCCUGCUAACAUCUUGCAACUUGCCACUAUGUGCUAAAUUGUUUCAUAGAUUCUUUGUACCUUGAGCCUUGCCUUCCAUUUCUGCAUCCUCCAUCUGUUGUUGUCUCAGGCGUUUUCUUAGCAGUUCAUCUGUGG
Non-coding RNA from Pelobates cultripes (western spadefoot toad), 250 nucleotides. NCBI's taxonomy places the organism in Eukaryota, Metazoa, Chordata, Amphibia, Anura, Pelobatidae. The record is from the annotation of a GenBank genome assembly.